RNAcentral lists this ribosomal RNA (2540 nucleotides) under Escherichia coli TOP2515. RNAcentral's name for it is "bacterial LSU rRNA". It matches the Rfam family "Bacterial large subunit ribosomal RNA", at positions 296 to 2826 of the family's 2925-position model. Lineage: Bacteria; Pseudomonadati; Pseudomonadota; Gammaproteobacteria; Enterobacterales; Enterobacteriaceae. The record is from RNAcentral.
GAGCAGCCCAGAGUCUGAAUCAGUGUGUGUGUUAGUGGAAGCGUCUGGAAAGGCGCGCGAUACAGGGUGACAGCCCCGUACACAAAAAUGCACAUGCUGUGAGCUCGAUGAGUAGGGCGGGACACGUGGUAUCCUGUCUGAAUAUGGGGGGACCAUCCUCCAAGGCUAAAUACUCCUGACUGACCGAUAGUGAACCAGUACCGUGAGGGAAAGGCGAAAAGAACCCCGGCGAGGGGAGUGAAAAAGAACCUGAAACCGUGUACGUACAAGCAGUGGGAGCACGCUUAGGCGUGUGACUGCGUACCUUUUGUAUAAUGGGUCAGCGACUUAUAUUCUGUAGCAAGGUUAACCGAAUAGGGGAGCCGAAGGGAAACCGAGUCUUAACUGGGCGUUAAGUUGCAGGGUAUAGACCCGAAACCCGGUGAUCUAGCCAUGGGCAGGUUGAAGGUUGGGUAACACUAACUGGAGGACCGAACCGACUAAUGUUGAAAAAUUAGCGGAUGACUUGUGGCUGGGGGUGAAAGGCCAAUCAAACCGGGAGAUAGCUGGUUCUCCCCGAAAGCUAUUUAGGUAGCGCCUCGUGAAUUCAUCUCCGGGGGUAGAGCACUGUUUCGGCAAGGGGGUCAUCCCGACUUACCAACCCGAUGCAAACUGCGAAUACCGGAGAAUGUUAUCACGGGAGACACACGGCGGGUGCUAACGUCCGUCGUGAAGAGGGAAACAACCCAGACCGCCAGCUAAGGUCCCAAAGUCAUGGUUAAGUGGGAAACGAUGUGGGAAGGCCCAGACAGCCAGGAUGUUGGCUUAGAAGCAGCCAUCAUUUAAAGAAAGCGUAAUAGCUCACUGGUCGAGUCGGCCUGCGCGGAAGAUGUAACGGGGCUAAACCAUGCACCGAAGCUGCGGCAGCGACGCUUAUGCGUUGUUGGGUAGGGGAGCGUUCUGUAAGCCUGUGAAGGUGUGCUGUGAGGCAUGCUGGAGGUAUCAGAAGUGCGAAUGCUGACAUAAGUAACGAUAAAGCGGGUGAAAAGCCCGCUCGCCGGAAGACCAAGGGUUCCUGUCCAACGUUAAUCGGGGCAGGGUGAGUCGACCCCUAAGGCGAGGCCGAAAGGCGUAGUCGAUGGGAAACAGGUUAAUAUUCCUGUACUUGGUGUUACUGCGAAGGGGGGACGGAGAAGGCUAUGUUGGCCGGGCGACGGUUGUCCCGGUUUAAGCGUGUAGGCUGGUUUUCCAGGCAAAUCCGGAAAAUCAAGGCUGAGGCGUGAUGACGAGGCACUACGGUGCUGAAGCAACAAAUGCCCUGCUUCCAGGAAAAGCCUCUAAGCAUCAGGUAACAUCAAAUCGUACCCCAAACCGACACAGGUGGUCAGGUAGAGAAUACCAAGGCGCUUGAGAGAACUCGGGUGAAGGAACUAGGCAAAAUGGUGCCGUAACUUCGGGAGAAGGCACGCUGAUAUGUAGGUGAAGUCCCUUGCGGAUGGAGCUGAAAUCAGUCGAAGAUACCAGCUGGCUGCAACUGUUUAUUAAAAACACAGCACUGUGCAAACACGAAAGUGGACGUAUACGGUGUGACGCCUGCCCGGUGCCGGAAGGUUAAUUGAUGGGGUCAGCGCAAGCGAAGCUCUUGAUCGAAGCCCCGGUAAACGGCGGCCGUAACUAUAACGGUCCUAAGGUAGCGAAAUUCCUUGUCGGGUAAGUUCCGACCUGCACGAAUGGCGUAAUGAUGGCCAGGCUGUCUCCACCCGAGACUCAGUGAAAUUGAACUCGCUGUGAAGAUGCAGUGUACCCGCGGCAAGACGGAAAGACCCCGUGAACCUUUACUAUAGCUUGACACUGAACAUUGAGCCUUGAUGUGUAGGAUAGGUGGGAGGCUUGGAAGUGUGGACGCCAGUCUGCAUGGAGCCGACCUUGAAAUACCACCCUUUAAUGUUUGAUGUUCUAACGUUGACCCGUAAUCCGGGUUGCGGACAGUGUCUGGUGGGUAGUUUGACUGGGGCGGUCUCCUCCUAAAGAGUAACGGAGGAGCACGAAGGUUGGCUAAUCCUGGUCGGACAUCAGGAGGUUAGUGCAAUGGCAUAAGCCAGCUUGACUGCGAGCGUGACGGCGCGAGCAGGUGCGAAAGCAGGUCAUAGUGAUCCGGUGGUUCUGAAUGGAAGGGCCAUCGCUCAACGGAUAAAAGGUACUCCGGGGAUAACAGGCUGAUACCGCCCAAGAGUUCAUAUCGACGGCGGUGUUUGGCACCUCGAUGUCGGCUCAUCACAUCCUGGGGCUGAAGUAGGUCCCAAGGGUAUGGCUGUUCGCCAUUUAAAGUGGUACGCGAGCUGGGUUUAGAACGUCGUGAGACAGUUCGGUCCCUAUCUGCCGUGGGCGCUGGAGAACUGAGGGGGGCUGCUCCUAGUACGAGAGGACCGGAGUGGACGCAUCACUGGUGUUCGGGUUGUCAUGCCAAUGGCACUGCCCGGUAGCUAAAUGCGGAAGAGAUAAGUGCUGAAAGCAUCUAAGCACGAAACUUGCCCCGAGAUGAGUUCUCCCUGACUCCUUGA